UACGUAGGGGGCAAGCGUUGUCCGGAAUUACUGGGCGUAAAGAGCUUGUAGGUGGUUUGUCGCGUUGUUCGUGAAAUCUCACGGCUUAACUGUGAGCGUGCGGGCGAUACGGGCAGACUAGAGUACUGCAGGGGAGACUGGAAUUCCUGGUAUAGCGGUGGAAUGCGCAGAUAUCAGGAGGAACACCGGUGGCGAAGGCGGGUCUCUGGGCAGUAACUGACGCUGAGGAGCGAAAGCAUGGGGAGCGAACAGG
This 253-nucleotide ribosomal RNA is filed under the name uncultured bacterium. Its description in RNAcentral is "partial 16S ribosomal RNA". It matches the Rfam family "Bacterial small subunit ribosomal RNA", at positions 524 to 776 of the family's 1533-position model. The record is from RNAcentral.